UUUGGUGGUGGCUUCUCUCCCUUUUCUUUUCCCUUGUGCAAAUCCUCAGUUACUUCUUCCUCAGUUAGAAGAUGUCCAUGAUGUCCAUGAUGUGGCUUAUGUUUUGGUGGUGGUUUAUAUCCCUUACCCUUAUGGUCUUCCUCCACGACAUCCUCAACUUCCAAAAGGCUUCUAUGUCCUGGUGGAGGCUUAUGUGGUGGUUUGUG
This 206-nucleotide unclassified non-coding RNA is filed under the name Hevea brasiliensis (rubber tree). Lineage: Eukaryota; Viridiplantae; Streptophyta; Magnoliopsida; Malpighiales; Euphorbiaceae. The record is from RNAcentral.